AAGUCGUAACAAGGUAACCGUAGGUGAACCUGCGGUUGGAUCAUUAAAAAAAACAACUUUUUUAAGAGUCUUUUGUGGGAAUAAAGUACCCUCAAGAUUCUUAAAAAUAAACACCUGUGCACUUUAUGUACUUUGGGCUAUAAUUAUUUAUAGCUCAGAAUUUUAAAAAACCCCUAUUGACUUUAGUCUGAAAAUAUUAUAUUAAAAAAAUAAUAACUUUUGACAACGGAUCUCUAGGCUCUC
Molecule: unclassified non-coding RNA, 243 nt
Filed under: fungal sp.
Lineage: Eukaryota; Fungi
Description: partial internal transcribed spacer region
Rfam family: Eukaryotic small subunit ribosomal RNA (bases 1-46)
Source: RNAcentral